UGGGGGAAUAUUGGGCAAUGGGCGAAAGCCUGACCCAGCAACGCCGCGUGAGGGAAGAAGGGUUUCGGCUCGUAAACCUCUGUCCUAUGGGACGAAGGAAGUGACGGUACCAUAGGAGGAAGCCCCGGCUAACUACGUGCCAGCAGCCGCGGUAAUACGUAGGGGCGAGCGUUGUCCGGAAUGAUUGGGCGUAAAGGGCGCGUAGGCGGCCUGCUAAGUCUGGAGUGAAAGUCCUGCUUUCAAGGUGGGAAUUGCUUUGGAUACUGGUAGGCUGGAGUGCAGGAGAGGAAAGCGGAAUUACCGGUGUAGCGGUGAAAUGCGUAGAUAUUAGGAGGAACA
Molecule: ribosomal RNA, 339 nt
Filed under: uncultured bacterium
Lineage: Bacteria
Description: bacterial SSU rRNA
Rfam family: Bacterial small subunit ribosomal RNA
Source: RNAcentral